CUUUCUGUGAUUUUGCUGCGAUAAAAAAUGAAAUAAGGCACAUGGCCAUGCUUUGCUCUUUACCUGAUCACCUGUUUUACCUUGUGUAUUGCAGGCAGCUGACUGGCAAUCAAGUUUUUCUAAUCCACCAAGGAAGAUCAUAGUACUGAUAUCACGCCUUCUCAGUGAUGCACAUCGGUAUAUUUUGCGAUGCCUGAGCAACCAUGGAACCGUCUCACAUUGUACUGUACUAACAGCUAUUUCAGAGAUUGGACACUCAGCAUAUGUUGAUUCUCCACUCGGGCCAGAUGCGUUUCGGGAAUAUGAAACCUUACUUAUUCAGGACCAUGAUGAGCUUCUUAAGAAGUCUGAGAAUUUAGACAGACAUAAAGAAAGCAUUCAUAAAGAGGCGAGUGAUUUUACCUCUAACGUUGAUAAUUAUUCUAAGUGGGGUUCUGGGGUGCAUUAUGGCUCUAAUUCUGAAUCCAGCCCAACGAAAAGGGAUUUUUUGAUGACGAAAUGGGCCAGGUAGAAGCAAGAGGGAGAAGACUGUUUGUAGUUGUGCGUCACUUUCCGAUGAUUUUCUCUCCUAUUUCCUCAAGGGUUUUUGUUUUGCCCUCUGAAGGCAUAAUUGCUGACUCAAGCCUGUCGAAUCAUCAUGAGGAUUCCCUUGGCUCUGGUUUACCCUCCAUAUCUACUAGUAAACCUUUUGAUAGUGACGAGGUACCACCAGGAGUGACAUUGACUACCCAGUUUCUGUACCAUUUGGCCAAUAAGAUGGACCUAAAGCUUGAUAUAUUUUCACUUGGUGAUACAUCAAAGGUCAUUGGAAAGCUGAUGAUGGAUAUG
Zea mays is the source of this 828-nucleotide long non-coding RNA. RefSeq lists it as uncharacterized. The transcript is spliced from 3 exons. The record is from RefSeq and is a predicted model, not a curated record. Lineage: Eukaryota; Viridiplantae; Streptophyta; Magnoliopsida; Poales; Poaceae.